Molecule: unclassified non-coding RNA, 904 nt
Filed under: Hevea brasiliensis (rubber tree)
Lineage: Eukaryota; Viridiplantae; Streptophyta; Magnoliopsida; Malpighiales; Euphorbiaceae
Source: RNAcentral
AUAUAACUUGCCAUCUUAUUGUAGGGAAUGAUAAUCAAUUUCAGAGAUGGCAAAAUAGAUUGCUUUGCUCCCUAAAGAAAGGCAGAACUUAACACUUCAUCUGAAUACCCUAAGUGAGUGAUUUGCAACAGUGAAACCGCCAUCGACCAUUAUGUUAGCCCCACUAAUGUACCUUGCUUCUUCACUUGCUAAGAAGAGCACGGCAUUAGCUACAUCAUCAGCUGUCAAUUCCAUUCCUUGCAAGUUAGCAUUUUUCCCAACAAAAGCACGAAGACCUGCCAUGGCAUCUUCAGUUCUCUCCUCCUCGGGCAAGUGAGCCAAGGCCAAGCCUGUUGGAACUGCAUAAGGAGAAACGCAGUUCACACGUAUCCCAUAUUUUCCUAGCUCAGCUGCAACAUUUCUGGUCAGUCCCAAUAAAGCAUGCUUUGAUCCUGUAUAUGCAUGGGGUCCAAGUCCCCCUAUGGUGCUGGCAACGCUGCAGAGAGAAAUAAUAGAACCCUUAUUUAGUGGGAUCAUAAUUCUUGCUGCAUGCUUCAUUCCAAGAAAUGUGCCCUUCACAUUUACAUUGAACACCUUCUCGAAAUCAGAUAAAUCUACAUUCCGGAUAUCUGGGCAUGGUGUACCUGACAACCCUGCAUUGUUGACCAUAACAUCCAAUGUUCCAAAUUUGUCUACUGUGAAAUCAAUGGCACUUUGAACCUCAUUUUCUAUUGUAACAUCACAAUGGAAGUAACAAGUGUUUGGGUCACCACCAAGAGAUUCACAGACAUUUUGCCCUAAGUUGUCUUGCAAAUCAGCUAUACAAACUUUUGCACCAUGCUUGUGGAAUAGACGAGCAAUGCUCUCUCCUAUCCCUGUGGCUCCACCAGUGACCAAUGCAACCUUUCCCAACAACCUUUGGCAA